This 301-nucleotide ribosomal RNA is filed under the name uncultured bacterium. RNAcentral's name for it is "partial 16S ribosomal RNA". It matches the Rfam family "Bacterial small subunit ribosomal RNA", at positions 509 to 807 of the family's 1533-position model. The record is from RNAcentral.
CAGUAGCCGCGGUAAUACGGAGGAUCCAAGCGUUAUCCGGAAUCAUUGGGUUUAAAGUGUCCGUAGGCGGUCUUGUAAGUCAGUGGUGAAAGCCCAUCGCUCAACGGUGGAACGGCCAUUGAUACUGCAGGACUUGAAUUAUUGGGAAGUAACUAGAAUAUGUAGUGUAGCGGUGAAAUGCUUAGAGAUUACAUGGAAUACCAAUUGCGAAGGCAGGUUACUACCAAUUGAUUGACGCUGAUGGACGAAAGCGUGGGUAGCGAACAGGAUUAGAUACCCGAGUAGUCCCUGUCUCUUAUAC